Molecule: long non-coding RNA, 209 nt
Organism: Thalassophryne amazonica
Lineage: Eukaryota; Metazoa; Chordata; Actinopteri; Batrachoidiformes; Batrachoididae
Exons: 3
Source: RefSeq, a predicted model, not a curated record
GCUCAACUAAGUGAGGCGAUUGUCGUAUUAACUGGAGUAGCAGCGCCCGCUGUCCACUGCUGCGACCGUCAGAAAAAAAUGGUCCAUGAAAAUGAUCUGUUCUCGUGAAUUUAUCAGAGAUUGGUCACAGGUCUGGCCAGAACCAUCACUCAGUCCAGAUCCGGACCGAGGUCUGCCAUUUGGUGAUUCCAGCUUGAGGGGCUCUGUAA